This 259-nucleotide ribosomal RNA is filed under the name uncultured bacterium. RNAcentral describes it as "partial 16S ribosomal RNA". It matches the Rfam family "Bacterial small subunit ribosomal RNA", at positions 524 to 777 of the family's 1533-position model. The record is from RNAcentral.
UACGUAGGCAGCGAGCGUUGUUCGGAGUUACUGGGCGUAAAGGGUGUGUAGGCGGUCCUCUAAGUUUGGUGUGAAAUCUCCCGGCUCAACCGGGAGGGUGCGCCGAAAACUGGAGGGCUAGAGUGCGGGAAGGGAGAGUAGAAUUCCUGGUGUAGCGGUGAAAUGCGUAGAUAUCAGGAGGAAUACCGGUGGUGCAGACGGCUCUCUGGGCCGACUAACCUGCGCUGGAGGAGCGAAAGACGUGGGGAGCGAAACAGGG